AAAAACGUCCUCUCUCCGCUCUCCUCCCAUCGGAUGUCAUGGAUCAGAAUUUGUUAAAUUUCCUCCCAGAACAAGAACAUUCAGAAGUUUAUAAAAUCCUUUCUUCCCAUAUGCUUGUGACGGAUUCCCCCUCCCCAGAAUACUUAAAAUCUGACAGCGAUUUAGAGUUUUAUUGCCAUCUUCUCAGAGGCAGCUUGAACCCAAAGGAAUUUCCAACUUAUGAAUACAUAAAAUUUGUAGGAAAUUUUCGCUCUUACAAC
This 260-nucleotide long non-coding RNA is filed under the name Homo sapiens (human). RNAcentral describes it as "HSALNT0036513". Lineage: Eukaryota; Metazoa; Chordata; Mammalia; Primates; Hominidae. The record is from RNAcentral.